ACUCAGCACGGUGGGAUCUUUGCUCUUCGAGUCCAAAAAAGACAAAACAUGAUGGGUCGACUUUAUGGGAGCUAAAUCCCCCACCAGAUACACAUGGCUUGAUUUAUAAGCACCAUGAGGACAAGAACGUUUUAUGGAUGCGGGGAGUAACAUGGCAAAUUUGCAGAUGGUUGAAAUGAAAAGGAUAUGAAUUGGAUUGCUCACUGAAAUGAAGAGAGAGCCCCUGAACUGGAGAAGCUCCUUCUUCUCAUCAGAACAUGCCUGAAUCUUGGGGUUGGGAUGAUUGCACCAUAGAUUCCAUUCAAAAGCUGUAAUACAUAGAGAUGUUGUGCUGGCUUUUACACCGUUGACGUGUUACCUCUGUAAGGCUUUCAGUGUAUUGUAUAGACUUUGGUCUACUCAACCGUUGAGUGUUACCUUCUGGCUGCAGAGAAUUCACGUUUUGAACAG
Non-coding RNA from Podarcis muralis (Common wall lizard), 450 nucleotides. The record is from RefSeq and is a predicted model, not a curated record. Lineage: Eukaryota; Metazoa; Chordata; Lepidosauria; Squamata; Lacertidae.